UUUUUUUUUUGAGCUGGCACUUUUAUGAAAUGUUUAUUUAACAGGUCAACCUUGCCUCCUGCCCCCAACCCCAAACUGGAGUUUCUUCUUGUUUCCAUACUGUGUGUGGGUAAUGACAAAAACAGCUGCUGACAAAGCUGAACAGAACAAACUGUUUCAAGAGUAUGGCUAACAAUGGCUUUAGUUAUUGUGUUUUUUUCUUUCUAAAGGCAAAAUAUAAAUAUAUAUUAUACAUAUAUAUAUGUGUGUAUAUAUAUCUAUAUCUAUAAAUAUAUAUCUAUAUAGAUAUAGAUAUAGAUAUACACACAUGCUCUACAGAUCACAGCAAUGGUUUAGACACACUAAAUAAGUUCAAGUGAGAUCUGACAACAGGCACACCCAGGAAACACAAAGUUGACUUGAGCUGCUUCUGGGGCCCUCAUUGCCCCAUCUUCUGGCCACUGGUUGAGUCUUGAGGGAGAAACUUGCCUACUGCCAAGGAAAGGGACAGGAAGAACUGCAGUGUCAUGUUGGAAGGGUGAUGCACAGAAAGCAGCAGGCCGGAAAGUGGCACCCGUUAGACAUUGCUCAGGGCAGCCACCCCAGGGAGGACUUUGCCCUCCAGCAGCUCUAGACUGGCACCACCCCCAGUGCUCACAUGGCUGACUUUGUCCUCAGUGUUCCAUUUGGCACAACAAGUGGCAGUAUCCCCACCACCUAUGAUAGUGAUACAGCCCCUCUUGGUGGCCUCCACCACAUUGUUCAUGAGCUCUUUGGUUCCUGGAACAAAGGCUUCCGGAACACUCAAAUACUCCAACAGGUCCAUUCCACACAAUCUGUUUGGCCCAGGCCACAGCUUCCGCGUACUUCUUGCUGCUCUCGGGGCCACAGUCCAAACCUAUCCAGCCAGCAGGGAUGCCAGAGGCCACUGUGGCUUGGCCAGUCUUGGCAUUCUCAUCAAACUUGUCCGCUGUGACGAAGUCAACAGGCAAAGUGAUCUUGACACCGUUCUUCUCAGCCUUGGCCAUCAGGUCUUUGACAAUCUUAGCCCCCUCUUCAUCAAAAAGAGAAGUUCCAAUCUCCAUGAUGUUGAGCACCUUGAAGAAGGUGAAACCCAUCCCACCACCAAUGAUCAUAUCAUUGACUUUGUCUAGCAUAUUGUUGAUCAACUGGAUUUUAUCGGCAACUUUAGCUCCGCCCAAGAUGGCCAGGAAGGGCCUCUCUGGGCUUUCCAAGGCCUUGGCAAAAUAAGUCAGCUCCUUUUUCAUGAGGAAACCACAUGCCUUCUGGGGCAGGUUUACUCCCACCAUGGAACUGUUGGGCACGGUGAGCAGUACCAAAAGCAUCAUUGACAUAGACAUCCCCCAACUUGGAGAGAGAUGCUUGGAAGGCUUCUACUUUAGCUGGAUCAGCUUUGAUCUUGUUCCCAGAAGCAUCUUUGCCUUUUCCUUCUUCUUCAACAUGGAAGCGAAGAUUCUCCAGCAAAAUGAUAGAACCAUUAGGUGGGUUAGCACAGGCUUUCUCCACUUCUGGACCCACACAACCCUUCAGGAACAGAACAUCUUUGCCCAGCAAGGAUUUAAGCUCUGCAGCCACAGUUUCCAAAGAGAAUUUGUCAGGCAUGGGGACACCAUCAGGUCGGCCUAAGUGGCUCAUCAGAACAACAGAUGUGGCUCCAUUAUCCAAAAAGUAAAGGAUGGUAAGAAGAGCAGCCUUGAUUCUCUGGUUGUUGGUUAUCUCCUUGUUCUUCAUGGGAACAUUAAAAUCUACCCUCAUGAUGACCCUUUUCCCAUUCAGGUCCACUUUGUCCAAGGUCAGUUUGCUGAAAGAGAAAUACUGGUGGCGAGGAGAUGGCGGGGCAGCAGCUGCGGCUGUGGCUGGGCUGCGGUGGCGGGUGGCUGUGGCUGGAGCUCGGGCUGCCUGAGCUAGGGACUGCUCUGCUCACCGG
Long non-coding RNA from Sarcophilus harrisii (Tasmanian devil), 1927 nucleotides. NCBI's taxonomy places the organism in Eukaryota, Metazoa, Chordata, Mammalia, Dasyuromorphia, Dasyuridae. The record is from Ensembl.